This 307-nucleotide unclassified non-coding RNA is filed under the name uncultured fungus. Its description in RNAcentral is "partial contains 5.8S ribosomal RNA, internal transcribed spacer 2, and large subunit ribosomal RNA". The stretch from base 1 to 52 matches the Rfam family "5.8S ribosomal RNA", at positions 103 to 154 of the family's 154-position model. The record is from RNAcentral. Lineage: Eukaryota; Fungi.
AACGCACCUUGCGCUCCUUGGUAUUCCGAGGAGCAUGCCUGUUUGAGUGUCAUCGAAAAUCUCAAGCCAAGCUGUUUUGACUUUGGUCGAAAAAGCCUGGAUUUUUGGAGUGUUGGGAGGUCUGCAGGCGUCCCGAUAUUGGGACUGCCAGCUCUCCUGAAAUGCAUUAGUGGGGGAUGGGCAUCGUGACCAGCCUCUUCGACGUCGUAACGCGAUCGUCGUGGACUUUGGGAGCUUUCCCCCCCUUGACUUUGCUUAUCGGUGAAGGCUUGACCUCAAAUCAGGUAGGACUACCCGCUGAACUUAA